This 495-nucleotide ribosomal RNA is filed under the name Hyphomicrobiaceae bacterium. Its description in RNAcentral is "partial 23S ribosomal RNA". It matches the Rfam family "Bacterial large subunit ribosomal RNA", at positions 1 to 540 of the family's 2925-position model. Lineage: Bacteria; Pseudomonadati; Pseudomonadota; Alphaproteobacteria; Hyphomicrobiales; Hyphomicrobiaceae. The record is from RNAcentral.
GGUCAAGUGAAUAAGAGCACAUGGUGGAUGCCUUGGCAAUGAUAGGCGACGAAAGACGUGAUAGCCUGCGAUAAGCUUCGGGGAGCUGGCAAAUUAGCUUUGAUCCGGAGAUUUCUGAAUGGGGAAACCCACCCUUCGGGGUAUCGCAUACUGAAUACAUAGGUAUGCGAGGCGAACCGGGUGAACUGAAACAUCUCAGUAGCUCGAGGAAAAUACAUCAACCGAGAUUCCGAAAGUAGUGGCGAGCGAAAUCGGAGAAGCCUGUUAGUGAUAGCAAGACUCUUAGCAGAACAGCCUGGAAAGGUUGGCCAUAGUGGGUGAUAGCCCCGUAUGCAAAAAGAGACUUGUGGUACUGAGCUAACGAAAAGUAGGGCGGGACACGAGAAAUCCUGUCUGAAUAUGGGGGGACCAUCCUCCAAGGCUAAAUACUCAUCAUUGACCGAUAGUGAACUAGUACCGUGAGGGAAAGGCGAAAAGAACCCCGGGAGGGGAGUG